This 614-nucleotide ribosomal RNA is filed under the name Eiseniella tetraedra. Its description in RNAcentral is "partial large subunit ribosomal RNA". The stretch from base 1 to 501 matches the Rfam family "Bacterial large subunit ribosomal RNA", at positions 1922 to 2925 of the family's 2925-position model. Lineage: Eukaryota; Metazoa; Annelida; Clitellata; Crassiclitellata; Lumbricidae. The record is from RNAcentral.
GUUCAACGGCCGCGGUAUCCUAACCGUGCAAAGGUAGCAUAAUCACUUGCCCAUUAAUUGUGGGCUAGAAUGAAAGGACCAACGAAAUAAAGACUGUCUCUGUAAGCAAAUUAAAAAUUAAUCUCUAACUGAAGAGUGUUAGAUUAUGUCGAAGGACAAGAAGACCCUAUAGAGCUUAAUUCUAAUAAAAAUACAUGUUUUAAUAAAAUUCGGUUGGGGCGACCAGGGAAUAAAAAUCAUCCCUAUUCAAAAGAUUUAUAAAUCUUUAAAAUGACCCUUAAACAAGACCAUAAAAACAAGCUACCUUAGGGGUAACAGGCUAAUCCCACUAAAGAGUUCUUAUCAAUAGUGGGGGUUGGCACCUCGAUGUUGGCUUAGGGAAUCUAUACGGCGCAAAAGUCGUAUAAAGAUGGUUUGUUCAACCAAUAACCCCUACAUGAGCUGAGUUCAGACCGGCGUAAGCCAGGUUAGUUUCUAUCCUCGAUAAAAAUACCUAUUUAUAGUACGAAAGGACCUAAAUAAGGGUAACAGUUACAAUAAAAGAAUAAAUAUAAAAAAUUAAUAUUUAGAAGAUUCAUAAACUAUGAUAGUGAGUUGGCAGAAUAGUGCCACAG